AGAGCUGCACAUCUAGUAACCAUAUAUAUGGAUCACAAGAAUUUGGAGUAUUUCAUGACGGCUCGAGUUUUAAAUCGGCGUCAAGCUCGGUGGAAUAUGUCGCUAUCUAGAUUCGAUUUUGUUAUCACUUAUCGACUUGGAAGGCAGCAAGGACUAUCCGAUGCUUUAUCACGGAGAUCGUAUCUUGCACCAAAGGCUGGAGAAGCAGCGUUUGAUCAACAAUGUACAACGUUAUUGAAGCCAGAGAGAUUUCAACUUUGUGCUACUAUUGUAUCAUUUGAUGCUGACUUCCUAAACCAGGUACGUGCUAUGACCAUUUAAGAUUCAGUAGCCAUUGAUAUCAAGCAAUGUACCAAUGACGACAAGUUCAAGGUGGAGGGAGAUCUUUUAUACUUUGAAGAGGGAUUGUACAUUCCAAAAGGACUAGCACGACUCCGAGUUCUUCAAUCUCGCCAUGAUUUUCCAACUGCGGGACAUUUUGGAUUCAAUAAGACCUUGGAGCUUAUUUCCCAAGAUUUUUGGUGGCCCCAAAUGUGGAAGGAUGUGAAAGAUUUUGUUCUCUCUUGUGACAUCUGUUCAAGAUCUAAGAAUCCUCGACAUCGCCUUUAUGGACUUCUACAACCAUUGCCAAUUUCACGUCGACCAUGGUCUUCAAUUUCUAUGGACUUCAUCACGGACUUGCCAUCAUCAAACUCAUUUGACAGCAUCUUUGUCGUGGUAGAUCGGCUUACAAAGAUGGCACACUUUGUUCCUUGUAAGAAGACAUCGUCCAAUGAAGUCACAACAAGACUCUUUCUCAAUAAUGUGUAUCGAUAUCAUCGACUACCAGAUGAUAUCAUAUCAGAUCGAGGUACCCAGUUCGUGUCAAAGUUUUGGAGAUCUCUCUUUGGGAUAUUGAAGGUGGAUAUCAAGCUUUCUUCAGCUUUUCAUCCUCAAACUGAUGGCCAAACGGAACGGGUGAAACAAGUCUUGGAGCAGUACUUACGAUGCAGUAUCAACUAUCAGCAAGACGAUUGGACUGCAUAUCUACCGCUAGCCGAGUUUGCAUAUAACAACACCAUCAUGCGUCGACUCAACAAACACCAUUCUUUUCCAACUAUGGGUAUCAUCCGAAGCUUGAUUUAUUGAGUCCGUCAACAAAUAACAAUCUAGCAGCUGAAGGAUUUGCGAAGCAACUAUCAGAGCUUCAAACUAUGUUGAAGCUUCAAUUACAAUCCGAUCAAGAAUCCUAUAAGAUGUCUGCAGAUAGAUUUCGGAAUCCAGCACCUACUUUCAAAGUUGGAGACAAAGCCUGGCUUCUUCGACGAAAUAUCAAGACCAAGCGACCAUGUGAUAAGUUGGACUAUCAAAGAUUGGGACCAUUUAUCAUCCAAAAGUAAAUUAAUCCAGUGGCAUACCGGCUGGAGUUACCAGCUUCUAUGAAGGUACAUCCAGUCUUUCAUGUUUCUCUGUUGGAACCUUAUCGAGAGUCAUCUUUUCUUGGAAGAGUGCAAUGUCCGCCACCUAGUAUUGAAAUCGAGAACCACGAAGAAUACGAUGUUGAAAAGGUAUUGGAUUCACGGCAAAGAUGGAAAAAGUUAGAAUAUCUUGUUCAUUGGUGCGGCUAUGACAUUAAUGAGCGAACGUGGGAGCCAGCUGAAAAUCUUGCGAAUGCGCCACAAAAGGUACAGGAGUUUCAUCAAUGACAUCCCGAUAAACCUAAAUCAAUUAGAUGAUAGCUUCUUUCUGAAGCUUGUUCUCCCAACAAUAUAACAAAAGGGGAGAGCACCAGCAAAAUUCAUAGUUGAUGUAGUUAUUUUCUCCAAGAUAGAUCGUAGUUUGGUCUUUUGAUAUGGAUAGCCAAGAGAUAGAUACUAUGCUAGUCAGAGUAUCGCAAUCGAGUAGCUCACGAAGGCGAUCCCGAGAUGAAGAACUACAUGUACCACGACAACGACGGAGGAUACCGAGUAACCGAUCACUGGUGAUUAUAUUUGAGAUCGAGCCUGCUUACGAUGGUCAACCAGAAGGCGUGUUUGCAGGACAAUUUCACAAUGAGGACACGGAAGUUCAUGCUUGGUCAGAAGUCGAAGGCGUGGGCCACUACCGUUGGCUUCAAGGGUCGAUGAACCACUUGCCUCGUGAACAACAGUUGGAGUUCAUAGCAGAAGUUAUGCGACAGAUCUUCAUUUUCUUGCGUUGGUACUGAACAACAACAUUGCUUCUCAGAGACCUCGAAGCUAAAGGAGGGGGUGAUGUUAGGGACAUAUUGUCACGGACACAAAAUACAGACUUGAAAUCUAACAAGAAGUUCAAGAAGAAGUGGCAGAACUAGAUUAAACAGAUGAGUACAAGAACAACACCAGAAAGGUGAGCUAGAACUCCAAGAGAUGUGUUGUCGAGACUGAAGAACCCUUCAGCCUCGACUCCUAUAUAUACUACUGAAUAGGAAGCUUCUCGAGCUACUUCUGCUAACUAGGACGCUUCUCCAACAACUUCUACUAAUUAGGAAACUUCUCGAGCAACUUCCUAAAAUCUAUCAGAAUAUUCUAGAACCUUCUAAGAAUAUUCUAGAACCUUCUAAGAGAAUCUUUAGGGAAUAUUCUAAGAAUCUUUUAGAACCUUCUAAAGGAAUCUUUAGAGAAUCUUUAGAGAAUAUUCUAGAAGAAUAUUCGAAGAUUCUUCCAAUGUAUGUCCAUGACAUCACCUCCUCUUCUAACUUCGAGGUCUCCGAGAAGCAAUGUUGUUAUCAGUCAAUACCAACGCAAGAAAAUGAAAAUCUGUCGCAUCACAUCCGCUAUGAAUUCCAAUUGUUGUUCGCGAGGCAAAUGAUUCAUCGGCCCUUGGAGCCAACGGUAGUGACCAACACCUUCAACCUCUGACCAAGCGUGGACUUCUGUGUCUUCAUUGUGAAACUGUCCUCCAAACACACCUUCUGGCUGACCGUCGUAGACAGGCUCGACCUCAAAUACAAUUACUAGCGAUCUGUUGCUCGGUAUCCUCCGACGUCGUCGUGGUGCAGGCGGUUCUUCAUCUCGCGGUCGUCUUCGUGAGCUAGUCGCUUGAGAUGACAUAACAAGUGUAGUAUCUUUACUAUCCAUGUCCAAAGGCUAAAAUGAUGAGAGCAAACUAUAGUUGCUAACAAAAUUCUACACUAUCGAACUAUGGGUUUUGGAGGUGCCCUCCCCCCUUUUUAUGCUACUUGAUGAGCAAGCUUCAGCAAGAAGCUAUCGUUGAAUCGGCUUAGGUUUAUGAGGAUAUCGUUGAUGCAAUUCUUGUACCUUUUUUGGUACAUUGGCAAGAUUUUCGGCACGCUCCCACGUUCGUUCAUUCAUGUCGUAUCCACUCCAAUGCACUAAAUACUCCAAUUUUCUCCUAUUACGUCGUGAAUCUAGUACCUUUUCCACCUCGUAUUCCUCAUGGUUUUCAAUUUCGAUACUUGGUGGCAGACUUUGUACUCUUUGGGGAAAAGCUGACUCUCGAUAAGGUUCCAACAAAGACACGUGAAAGACUGGAUGUACCUUCAUAGUAGCUGGUAACUCCAGACGAUAUGCCACCGGAUUGAUCUGCUUCUCGAUAACAAAUGGCCCUAAUCUCCGAUAGUCCAAUUUGUCACAUGGCCGCUUGGUCUUGAUAUUCCGUCGAAGAAGCCAUACUUUACUUCCAACUUUAAAAGUAGGCGCCUCAUUUCGAUAUUUAUCUGCAGAUGCCUUGUAACUCUCUUGGGCAGAUUGCAAUUGAAGCUUCAACGUCGCUUGAAGCUCCGAUAGUUGCUUCACAAAUCCUUCAGCUGCUGGGUUGUUAUUUGCUGAAGAACUCAAUAAAUCGAGCUUGGGGUGGUAUCCGUAGUUGGAGAAGAAUGGUGUUUGUUGAGUUGACGCAUGAAGAGUGUUGUUGUAUGCGAACUCAGCAAGCGGUAGAUAUACAAUCCAAUCAUCUUGUUGAUAGUUGAUGCUGCAUCGUAAAUAUUGCUCCAAAACUUGAUUCACCCGCUCCGUUUGACCGUCAGUUUGAGGAUGAAAAGCCGAAGAGAGCUUAAUAUCCACCUUCAAUAUCUCAAAGAGGGACCUCCAAAACUUGGAUACAAACUGAGUACCUCGAUUCGACACGAUAUCAUCUGGUAGGCCAUGAUAACGAUAUAUGUUAUCAAGAAAGAGUCUUGCGGUGUCUUCACUUGACGAUGUUUUCUUGCAAGGCACGAAAUGCGCCAUCUUUGUAAAUCGAUCUACCACAACAAAGAUGCUGUCAAAUGAAUUCGAUGGCGGUAGGUCCGUAAUGAAGUCCAUAGAAACUGAAGACCAUGGUCGGUGCGGAAUAGGCAAUGGCUGGAGAAGUCCAUACGAACGAUGUCGAGGGAUCUUGGAUCUUGAACAAACAUCACAAGAAAGGACAAAUUCCUUCACAUCCUUCCACAUUUGGGGCCACCAAAAAUCUCGUGAAAUGAGCUCCAAAGUCUUGUUGAAUCCAAAAUGUCUCGCAGCUGGAAAGUCGUGGCGAGAUUGAAGUACUCGGAGUCGAGUUGGUCCUUUCGGGAUAUACAACCGCUCCUCAAAAUACAGAAGAUCUCCUUCUACCUUAAACUUGUCAUUAUCGACACGUUGUUUGAUGUCAAGAGCUAUAGAAUCCUCAAUGGUCGCAGUACGUACUUCGCUGAGGAAGCCGUCAUCGAUAGUUGCAACAGUAGCAAAAAUCCUGAAUUUUUCUGGUUUCAACAAUGUUGUACAUUGUUGAUCAAAUGCUGCUUCUCCAGCCUUUGGCGCAAGAUACGAUCUCCUGGAUAAUGCGUCAGAUAAUCCUUGCUGUUUUCCAGGGCGGUAGGUGAUAAUAAAGUCAAAUCGUGAUAGAGACAUAUUCCAUCGAGCUUGACGACGAUUCAAAAUUCGAGCUAUCAUGAAGUACUCCAAAUUCUUGUGGUCCGUAUAAACAGUCACUGGAUGUGCAGCUCCUUCGAGGAAGUGACGCCACUCUUGGAAGGCAUCCACUAUAGCAAGCAGCUCUUUGUCGUGGAUCUCGUAGUUGAUCUCAGCAGCAGAGAACUUCCGUGAAUAGAACGCAACUGGGUGAAGCUUCUUGUCUAUGCCCAUCUGUGAAAGCACAGCUCCCAAAGCAAAAUCUGAAGCAUCGGUCUCUAAAUAGAAAGCCUUUGCAAAGUCAGGGUGUACCAAGAUUGGAGCCGUAGUGAAUGCCGUCUUAAGAUCUUGAAAUGCUUUUGCUGCUUGUGAUCCCCAUUCGAGCUUGUCUUUGCUUGUUAGACGCGUGAGUGGUGCAGCAACUUGAGAAUAAUUCUUGAUGAAGAUCCGAUAGAAGUUAGCAAAUCCAAGAAAACACUGAACAUCUCUAACCGUCUUCGGAACUUCCCAAGAUAUAAUUGCUUCUACCUUUUUGGAUCCAUCUUCAAGCCCUCUGUAGUCGCAAUGAAGCCCAAAAAUUCCAUCUCAUUCUGGUGAAAUUGACACUUCUCCAACUUGGCGUAGAGUCCUCGUUUGCAUAGUAUUUCAAGAACCAAACAAACGUGCUUCUCAUGUUCUUCUUCAUUCUUGGAAAAUAUCAAAAUAUCAUCCAGAUAGAUAACAACAAAGUCAUCGAGGUACUCCCGAAAGAUGUCGUUCAUCAUAUGCUGAAAGACCGCUGGAGCAUUGGUAAGACCAAAAGGCAUGACAUUGUACUCAAAAGGCAUGACAUUGUACUCAAAAUGGCCAUACCUUGUACGAAAGGCUGUCUUCCAUUCAUCUCCUUCUUUGAUUCGCACAAGGUUGUAGGCUCCUCUUAAAUCAAUCUUUGUAAAAAUCCUUGCACGUCCAAGUUGAUCUAAGAGGCCGGAGAUCAAAGGUAAGGGAUAGCGAUUUUUCUUGGUCACCUUGUUGAGUCCUCGGUAGUCCACGCACAUCCGCAGUGAGCCAUCCUUUUUCUUCACGAAUAGGAUUGGUGCUCCAGCUGGUGACUUUGAAUGUCGAAUAAAAUUCUUGGCUAGAUUCUCAUCGAUGUACUUCCGUAAUUCUGCCAACUCCAUCUGCGAUAGGUUGUAUAUUGGACCAAAAGGUGGUUGCGCUCCUUCCUCUAAGUCUAUGGCGCAAUCAUAUGGUCGAUGUUCCGGCAGUAUAUCGGCGUUCUUCUUCUGAAACACGUCUUCAAAAUCCCUAUAUUGCUCUGGUAUAUUUGAUGUUGACAUAUUCUCGCCGCUAGUUGGAGCUGCAUAAAUGACAAAUGGUGCGCCUUCCUUGGACAAUCUUAGGAACGCUCUCGCUCCAAUAAACAUGGAUUUCUUCAUGUAGGUUCUACCAACAGGUUUAUUAUUAUUUUUUUCAGGAAAUGUUAUCCUUCGUAGCCUCCAAUCAAUGGACGGAUUAUGAUCUUCUAACCAAGAAAGACCAAGGAUAACAGGGCUUGAUGGGGUUCUAAUAAUAUUAAAAAUAACGUGACUACUAUGGUCCUUAAACACCACUUCUAUAGGUUCUGAUUCGUGGGUAACGUUGCCUGACAAUAAGGGUCGUCCAUCUAUCACCUCUACGUGAACAGGUUUGGACUUCUGUACUAAACGGAUCUUGUGGCGUUUAGCAAACUCUUCAUCUAAAAAACAAGUAGAUGCCUCCGAAUCCAAUAAAGCUAAAGUUUUUUGUUUUUGAGGGCCUAAAAACAAAGGAAUUGUAAAACAACAUGCAGGUUGGACAGAGAAGGAGGAACCUGAUUGUUGUCGUGAUAUUAGAUUGUCCAGCCGCACGGUUCCUACUGUUGCUGGGCGUCGUCGUUUUCCGAAAUCAUCGCACUUCUAGUCUUGACAGGGUGCCAAUUUUGCUUCUUUGGACAAUUUCCAACCUUGUGAUCUUCUUCUCCACAGUACAAACAUAACCCUUCCUCCAUACGCCGUUUCUUCUCUGUUGGAGUAAGAGAUCAGACACGCGCCGUGUCGAUUUGCAUGUCUGUUGCCUCCGAAUGUGAGUUUAAGCUAUUUGCAGACAUAGUCACGUAGUAACGAGUCAUUUGGUAUCUUGGACAUUGGUCUUGGCGACGCUGGAAUAGGCGGUUGUCACACUUUACAGCUUGGCUAAUAGCUUCGUUGAGCGUUUGAGGAUCAGGAAGAGAUAACAGCAAGUCCUUCACAUCAUCCUUCAAGCCCCAAUAAAACUCACUCACCAACGCCUCUUCACCCCAAUUAAUGUCACUUGCCAAUUGUCUGAAAUCCGAGGCAUAGACUGAUGCAGAGCGUGUUCCUUGUCGUAGUGAUCGGAUCUUUGUUGUAGCCCAUCGAACUUUAUCAUGCUCGCCAAAUGCUUCUGCAAACGCCUCCAAGAACGUUUCAAAGUUGCUCAGGAUUGGCGAUCGCUUCUCGAACAAGGGAGUAAACCAAGACAGAGCUUGUGCUGUAAGCAAGGUUCCAACAAGCCCAACACGCGCUUCCUCCGUCGGAUAACGUUCGGGCUGUAAAAUUGUUAUCAACCUGAUUUGGUUGACAAAACCUCGAAACUUGGAACGAGUUCCAUCAAACUUAUCCGGAAGACUAACUCGAGGCUCCUUUUGUUGUAGGACUACUCGAUCUUGUUGAAAUGGAGGUAGAACUGCUUCUUCUGGCGCAGAAGUUUGAGGUUGAUAUGCUUUAGAUGGCGCUAUCUCAGAUGCUCCAUUGUUAUGGAGUCCUACCAUGACUCCUUCGAUCUCUGUUGUCCUAUGUGACAACGAGGCAAGAGCAUUUAUGAUGGCUUCUAGUUUGGAUUCCAAACUUUCGGCCAUUUUAACGUCUUAACCUUCGGCUAACCUUCAGAAAGAAGAAAAAAGAGUUUUGACAAGAGGACAAUAUUGGUUUAGAGGAGAGUACUCCGCAACCUCUAAAACGCCUUAAGACUCCAAGAUGAGGGGUAAUCCACUCUCUCCAAGAAGAAUAAGGCUCCAAUAUUGAGAAAGAAGAGAUAUCAGUUUAGAAGAGGGUAAUCCGCAACCUCUAAAACACUAGCACACCUUCAAGAAGAGGGGUAAUCCACUCUCUAACAAGAAGGAACUAGCUCUGAUACCAGUGAAAAUGUAGUCUCGACAAACUGUCACGGACACAAAAUACAGACUUGAAAUCUAACAAGAAGUUCAAGAAGAAGUGGCAGAACUAGAUUAAACAGAUGAGUACAAGAACAACACCAGAAAGGUGAGCUAGAACUCCAAGAGAUGUGUUGUCGAGACUGAAGAACCCUUCAGCCUCGACUCCUAUAUAUACUACUGAAUAGGAAGCUUCUCGAGCUACUUUCGCUAACUAGGACGCUUCUCCAACAACUUCUACUAAUUAGGAAACUUCUCGAGCAACUUUCUAGAAUCUAUCAGAAUAUUCUAGAACCUUCUAAGAAUAUUCUAGAACCUUCUAAGAGAAUCUUUAGGGAAUAUUCUAAGAAUCUUCUAGAACCUUCUAGAGGAAUCUUUAGAGAAUCUUUAGAGAAUAUUCUAGAAGAAUAUUCGAAGAAUCUUCCAAUGUAUGUCCAUGACACAUAUUCCUUAGAACUUUCUAGAGAGAAGUUUCUAUAACUUUCUAGAAAAUAAGCCUCUGGAACCUUCUAGAAGAGAAGUCUCUGGAACUUUUUAGAGAGAAGUUUCUAGAAGCUUCUAGAAAGGAAGUCUCUGGAACCUUCUAGAAGAGAAGUUUCUAGAAGCUUCUAGAAAAGAAUCCCCUGGAACUUUCUAGAAGCUUCCUAGUUAAUAGAAGUAGCUCGAGAAGCUUCCUAAGGAGGAGUAUAUAUAGGGAUCGAGGCUGAAGAGUUCUUCAGUCUCGACAACACAUCUCUUGGAGUUCUAGCUCACCUUUCUGGUGUUGUUCUUGUACUCAUCUGUUUAAUCUAGUUCUGCCACUUCUUCUUGAACUUCUUGUUAGAUUUCAAGUUUGUAUUUUGUGUCCAUGACACAGUGUCAUAUUGUAGUUUGGCUACCAUGUGAAAAUAAUGUGAUUAUGUAUUUAAUGUAUAAUUUACUUAACAACAUGAUGAGAGCCAUGUUACUGGAUUUUAGUUGGUUGUAGAAUGUGAUUAAAUUACUACUUUAAAAGGAGGUUAUUUAAAAGGAUUAUUAUUAAAAUCUAUAUAACUAUAAUUUCUUUUCAUAUUGGCUUUUAAGAUUGAGUUUGGUUGAUAGUAACUUCUAAAUAUUUAGAAUCACUUUUGUUAGACAUUGGUAAUCUUUGAAAAUUUAUUUUGGUUCUUUUAUUUGGUGUUUGGAGCAUAAAUUAUAUAAAUCUUAUAAGAAAAAGGGUUGAAGAAGGGUUUUAGUAGCAAAGGGAGUAAUUAGGGCACCAAUAUAGAUGAAUGGAGAUAGAUGAUGAAAAUCUCUAUUCCUAUUGGUCAAAAAUCAUGACCAAUAAGCUUUGAAGAGGCUGCCUGAGGCCAUAUUAGAGAUUAGGGUUAGUUUUUUGGAGCCAUUUGAGCUUUGAAGACUAUGAUCAGUAAAUUUAGGUUUUUGGCAAUGGUUUUGGUGCAAAUCUUGUAUGAUUUGGAGUUUAAAUGAAGGAAAUAUAGGUGCUCAAAGUUAAGGUGUUGAUUUGAGAGCUACUGUCACUCUUUUCAAUAUAACACAAGCAUAUGGAAGGCAAUUGAGGAUCGGCAAUUGCAACUAAAGAGAGCACUUUUGCGGUUAUAUUUUUUAUAUGCUAGUUACUGGAUUCCAAGUUAAGAUGAAGGAGAUAUUGAAUUUUGAAGUCAAUGCAUGAAAUCUAAGGAUAGUAAGUGACCUGAUUUACUAGUAGUUUUAUCUUGAGCUAUAUCUUGAGCAAUUUGAUAAAGUUUUGGCUCAAAUUUUCAGAAAAUGUGUAUAUUCAUGUUAAUAAACUUUAUACAUAAGUUUAAUGGCAUUUGAAUAUUGGAUUUUUCAGAUAUUAAGAAAAUAGUACUCAGAUGCUUGCAAUUUAAGGUUAGAGUAUCUGCUAGGAUUUCUUAGAUGUCAAAAGAUCGGAAGUGAAUUUGUGGUUGGAUUUUUUUUUGUAGUAAAACUUAAGGAUAAAUUCUACCUACUUUAUAAAUUUGAAAUAAAUUGAAUGGUUAGAUCAAGAAUUAUGAAUUUUUAAAGUUCAAGAAGAAAAAACCCUUCACGGAAAAAAUAUGUUUUGAAGGGAUUUUGCUAUAUUUUGAAUUUUAUGCAAAUUAAAGAAGUUUUGAAAGCUAAGACAAGAUACAUAUAAAAGUUUAAGCUAAAUUCUCUAUAGCUAGAUAUCUAGUGUAUUCCUAGAUAGCAAAUCAUGUGAUACGACAAUGGAUCUUUGAAUCUCAAGUUCUUAUAAAUCUAUAUUCGUGAUAGUAGAUUAUUUUACUAAGAUGGCACAUUUUGUAUUAUGUACAAAAUCUAUCAUAAGUAAAGAAAUAGCUAAACUCUUUCUUAACAACAUCUAUCACUAUCAUAGAUUAUCCAAGGAUAUCAUAUCAAAUAGAGGAACUCAAUUUGUAUCAAGAUUUUGGCAGACUCUUUUCAAGAUUCUAAAAGUAGAUAUAAAACUAUCUUUGGCAUUCCAUCUUCAAACUAAUGGACAAACAAAGCGUGUUAAUCAAGUUUUGGAGUAGUAUUUAAGAUGUACCAUCAACUACUAACAAGAUGAUUGGACAACUCUUUUGCCAUUGGUAAAGUUUAUCAAUAAUAAUACAAUACAUUCUUCUACAAAACAAACACCUUGCUUUGCCAAUUAUGGUUAUCAUCCAUGACUUAAUACUUUUGACUUUUCAAAAGCUGAUAAUCUUGCUGCGAAAGAUUUGACAAAUCGUUUGUGAGAUCUAUAUGUAAUAAUGAAGGUAUAGUUAAAAAAAGCUAAAGACCAACAAAAGAUCAAUACAGAUGUCUAUCAAAAGGAACAACCACCAUUCCACGUGUGUGAUAAGGUAUGAUUAUUUCAUCAAAAUAUCAAGACAACUCGUCUUUGUGACAAGUUGGACUAUCAUAGAUUUGGACCAUUUCCUAUUUCUGCACAAAUCAAUGUUGUUGCAUAUUAUUUAUACCUACCAAAAUCAAUGAAAAUCUAUCUAAUAUUCCAUGUGUCUCUUCUUGAACCAUACAAGAUAGUAGACUUACCAAGAAGAAGACAAGUACCACCUCUUGCUAUAGAAGUGGAUAAUAAUGAAGAAUUUGAAGUAGAAGAAGUCUUAGAUUUAAGGUGACCCUAAGAUAAGUUGAAAUAUCUUAUUCAUUGGCACGGAUACAUUAUUAGUGAAUGCACAUGGGAGCUAGCAAAGAAUCUUGUAAAUGCAAUAAAGAAAGUAGAGGCUUUUCAUCAACAACAUCCAUCAAAAUUAAGAUGAAGACCUUUCUUAUAAAAUAAAUAACAUCUAGGCAAGAUAACAUUACACUUUCAAUCCUUGUUUGUAAUUUUUUUGUAUUUGUCAUGCUGAGGAGAUGGAGAACUAACAACCACUGGAUUUGAUUGAAGAGCCUUCAUUUAUUGAUCUGUUAGAUAAGACAUUGUCAUUGUCACAACCUUCAAGAUGAUCCAAUCAAGAUAAAGAUCCUCAAAAACAAUAUAUUUUUCCUCGAAUAGAUGGUGAGAUAUAACUUGUUUAGUAUCACAACCUUUGAAGAGACUUCUGAUGUUUGCUAAUUUUAUUAGAGGUAGAAACAACUCUUGAUGAUGUUUUAAAUGUUUUAUUUAAAAGAAGUUAUAAAGGCCUCAACAAUGACAAAAUAAGAGGGUGGUCUUUUUGUCUUGGUAUGGGACACUAUCGAUGGUUGAAAGGUCCUAUGAAGCAUCUUCAAAGAGAACAAAGAUCUAAGUAUGUGAUAAAUAUAAUUUGCCACAUCAUAGAUUUUUUCAACAUAUGAUAACCACUCCACAUAGAAUUCAUUUCUAAAAGAAGGGGUAAUGUCACAGACAUAUACAUGUAAGCUGAUAACUAUCUAUAUAAAUAGGUAGAAAUAGAUAGAAAUAAGUAAAAGUAAGUUAAUUCUAUAAUAUCUUCUAAAGAAGCUUCCUAAAAGCUUCAUAGACACUGAUUUAAUUUUAUAUGUAUCUAUUAAUGACUUUUAAAUUAAAAAGUUAGUCAACAAAUUAACCAUGUGCCACACAUGUUGAUAGCUUGAAGAAUAAGCUAACUAUAUAGUAUACAUAUAAAAAAAACUUGCCUUAUAAAUCAAGGCAUGUGUCCUACAAAAUCAACACAUAUUGGAAGUCCUAUAGAAUAUUGCCAUGUAGCUCCUAAUUCGAUAGUGUAUAUAGAGACAAGAGUGAAGCCUUCUUCACUCUUGUCAACUCUUUUCUUGCUUCUAGUUCAAUUUGAAGAGUCUCAAGUUUUCUUGUCUUUUGGCAAUAAGCCAUUCUAAUUUCUUUUUAAUAUGUAUACUUCUUUAUUUCUAUUUUGUCACUUUUUCUUUGAUACGGAUUUCAUUGGUUUAUGUAUUAUCUUCCAAUUCAUGUCCUUGACAAUAUGCAAUACUUUGAUCUUGCACUUACAUUAUUUUUUUGUAAGUGUCUUAAACUCUUUAAACCUUAAAAAUAUAUCUAUUUUUAGCUUUAAAGAUAUAAAUCCACAUCUUUCUAGAAAAAUCAUCAAUAAAUAUCAUAAAAUAUCUUACUCCUCUAAUUGAUGGCAUUUUCAUUGAUCAACAAAUAUUAGAAUGCAUAAUUUCUAACAAUUUGGUAGCACAUAUUGCAACUAUUCUUGAAAAUGAAGCCUUUUGUUGUUUGCCUUGAAUACAACCUUAACAAGUAAGUAUUAUGGAAUUGUGGCUAAAUUGAUCAAGAUUUAAGCCACUUACCAUAGAUUGAAUUUCUUUCAUGUUUUUGGCAUUCAAAUGAUCAAGUUGUUGAUGCCAAAUUCUAAUUUUUUCUUGAUUUUGUGGAACUUGAGUAGAUAUUAUAACUUUAACUCCAUUCACCUUCUUACAAUUGAUGAAGUAGAGGUUGCCAUCUCCUAGGCCUUUGGCAACAUGUUGUCUACUCAAUAUCUUCACAAAACAUCCAUUUAUAUCAAAUUAAACCUCACCACCAUGUGAUACAAGUUUGCUCACCGAAAUGAGGUUCUUCAACAUCUUUGGCAUAUGUAAGACUUUCUUGAAUCUAAUUCUCUUCAUUUGGUCCUUCACAAUGAUCUCUACUACAAUAGAGCCAAUUUUAAUAGCUUACACGAUACCAUUGUCUCCUAACCAAACAUUUGUUACUGAAAUUUUUUCAUAAGUGCCAAAUAGAUACUUAUAUGGUGUCAUGUACUUAGUAGUAUACGAAUCUAUAAUCCACUUGGACAUGAUAGCCAUGGAGGCUCUUUUACUUGCCAUGAAAGCAUAAUCAUCUCUACCAAAACUAUCACUUGUAUUGUUUGUAUUCUUCUUAUUUCUUUUCUUGGCUUUGUAGUAAUUUCUAAUAAAGUGACAUGGUUUUUCACAAAUAUAGUAAUUUUUCAUGUUUUUUUUUGAAUUAUCAUAUUAAUAAAAAUAGCUACUUUUGCCUUGUCUUGAAAAUAGAGUCCAAUCAUCACUUUGAAGCUUUUUUCUUUCUUCUUAAUCACUUUAUGGACAAAUCUUGAUGUGACAUAAUGCAUAAUAAGUUCCUUUAUGUUAAUAGACUCCAAUGAGGUAGUUGUAGGACUAGGAAAAGUUCAUGAGUAAUAUCAACACAAUGUCUUUAUCAUCAAUUAUCUUGUCAACAAUUACUAGUUGGUUUACAAGUACUUUUAUCUUGUUGACAUGAGCCAUGAAAUCAUCUUCUUCUUCCAUCUUUAUUGUUAAGAACUUCCUUUUUGUCUAUAGAAUGUUGGUAAGAUUUCUACUCUUACAAAUGUUGUAAAGAGUCUUUCAUGCUUUUGCUACUCCAUUCUAAGCAAUUACAUGUGAAAAGUUGGCAUCAUACAAAUUUGAUACAAUCAUGACAAAAGCCUUUCUUUCACAACAUUUGUAUUCUUUCUUCACCUUAACAUUAGCAUCAUCACUUGGAGGCUCUUCACUUUCAUCAACAAUGUCUCGAAGGUCUAAUGAAGCCAACAAAAGCUCCAUUUUCUUCUUCUAGUGGUAGAAAUUGUCAAUUUUAACUUCUCAAACCCUCACCCUUAUUUGAAGCCAUGUCUAAUAAAAAAGAUUAUCAAAUAAAAUCAAUAGAAAGAGAAGAUAGACUCACCAAAUAAAUAAGAAGGUCUUACUGCCUUAGAAACCUAAAAUGCCUCUUUUAUAAAUAAACAAGUGAUUUCACUCUUUAAUCACUCUCAACUCUCAUAAGAACACUUCUAAUCUCACAAAUAUCUUCUUAUCACUAUAAGAAAACCUCUUAAAAAAUUCAGAGCACAAAAGCACAAUACUAGUGCACCAAUGAUGUAACUCAGCAAAGAAACACAAUAAGUCGACGUCGUCUAAAGCUAGAAUUGCAUGCAUGUCCUAGAUCCAGACCUUCAUAUCAAGUAAACCUUCAAUCCGUUUCGAUCCAUACUGAGGCAGUGAGUUCAAUGCUGAAUUGAUUACUUAAUUUAAUUUGCUUUGUUGUUGAUGUACAGGUUGUGAGGACUCUCGGCGUACUUAACCAAAUUGCGUCCCGGACUUACACCCUGCUUCACGUGUGGCAGUACAAAGCCCUCCAACUCGAGUACAAGAUCGGUGACUCGCAUCUAGAGGCUGCUGCUGAGGAUGCAGGCCAUUAUGUGCUGUCGGAGUGAGCCUACUCAUCGCCUCUCCUUAUUGAAUUCAGAAUGGGCCAUGGAGCACUCGGAGAUUGGUCGUUUGUGUUUUAGUCGAUCUCGGACAACGCCUCGUUGCGAUCUGAGGUCGUAGUUUUGUCUGGAUUGGUGUUUGGUUUUGUGCAGAAUUUUCCCGACGCAACAGUCCACAAGCUUCGAUGGCCUCAUCGAUAAGCAGAUCACUCCACUGGAAUUGACAGAAGAAGAGGAUGCGGCUAUUCGCAAGAUUGGCCUCCAAUUUGCCAAAUCUCUCCUGAAAAAAAGGUAGUGAUCCCUUUCUCCUGAGGCUUACAUUGAUUUCAUUAUCCUGAAGGUUGAGAGCUUCAACGCGUUCCAAUGGAAUCACUCGUGUGCUAAAAUUUCCACCGCCGCAUUUGAGAAUGAUUGUUCAGGACACAUGACGGUAGUCAGCAGUGGAUUAAGUUCGUUCCGUCACCUGCCGGAGGUCCCACUGGAUAGUACCAAUUCACCCCAAAUCAAACGUUCGUCCUGCACCCUCAACAGGGCAAGCCUCGUCCCUUCGUCAUCAAAUCCGUUGCUAAGUUCGACACAAAUGGUGGCCCAUAUGCAAUCCCCAGCUCCAAGUACAAUACUGACUACGAGGAGAUCGCAAUCGUUGGCAACUCGAACUCGUCGUCAUUCACAGAUUUUUUCAAGGAGACGGCAAAGUUUUGGGAGGCCGGCGCAAGUAAGAGUUACAACUCCCUCUUCCACUUCAAUUUUCGCUGUCUGACGGAGACCAAUCUUAAUUGCGAUGAUUUCUUUUAAAUACUUCCAAAGUUGGGUGUGCUUCUGCUCACUAUUUCCGCCAUAAUUUGCACAGAUACAUCGACCGUAAACGUUCGUCCUGUUCUGUUGACGACAUCUUUGCAUCCUCUGAGCUUGCAGUCAAGGAGACUCCAGCCACCAGCCGAUUGUUUUCACUCCUUUCCUUCGAACCCCCCCACACCCAGAGUAUCCGAGUACACACUCGACUGCUGCAGGAUCCUGGGCGAAAGUGCUCGCCAGAUACUUGAGCGUCGGCAUCUCUCAACACAUUUCCUCCUAUUCUGUCGCUACUGAGGGGUAUCCGCUGCCAUUACGCACUUACAAUACGCUUGAAGCAGCUGCGGUGGAAGUUGGAGUGAGUAGGUCUGUUGCAUGCGUUCGAUCAAAACAUAUUUACUUGAACUCUUUUGGUCAACUUGUUUGAAUUGAUUGAAAUCAGCAUCGUGAAUUAAAAGCUUUUGGAGCAUUGAAACUUUAUGCGUGUUCCCGAGUACUUGCAGAAUCUAUGGAGGAGUCCAUUUUCGAAAAGCUGUCGAAGACGGCAUAAAACUGGGAGUCGAUGUAAGCAUUCUCUGAGCUCUUUAUGCCCUCUCAUCUCCUAGUCUUUAUGUCGAUCAUCGUGUGCUCAAUGGCAACUCUUAACCAUCGCUCACUCCACCACUGCAACCGCUCUAAACCCUCUGGAUGCUUUGCAGAUUGGCGACUACGUGUGGGAUCACUUCGAGAAAGAAUUUGGUGAUUUGUAAUCGCCAAGCUCUAUGAAUGACAUUGCCUAGUGGCGGACCCCCUAAAAGAGUAUCUUCGCUGUGCUCUUCGCUGUGCUACUAUCUUCAAGCCUUGUCAUUGUUGUUUCCAACAAUAUUACCAAUUUGAAUGCUGCAACGUCUCGGUGUCGUUGAUGUUACCCAACUUCUCACUGCAAGUGCCUGAUCGGCACCUCACCACCAGAACAUGAGGUUUGCAGUUUGCAAAGCUGGUGUCACCCGGUCUUCACAAGUGCAGAUGAAUUCGUGUUCUACGUCGACACAAGCAAGCAGUAAAAAGCGUUUCAAUGCCGGUGCUUACAAAAUGUGAUGGCUCCAGUAUGAAUGCUGUAUGAUAAGAUAUGGGAAACAUUUGCACUUGUUAUUCAACUGCGCUUUAUCGGGUAUUUACUUGAGUCUUUUUUCAGUGUCAGUUUCUUCUCCAUGUUUGUUAUUGAAGUUGAAUGUGGGUGUAAACGUAAAUUGAAAAGUGGAUGUAAAUGAGGAUCAUACUUCAUAGACCCAAAGAAUGUGUUUACUUCUAACGUUUGCCCAAGUAACAACUUCGAAGCUUGUGUAAGACUUCAUAUUUUAGAACAGCCUGUUUUGAAACAGUAACAUGUAUAUUGUUAGUGCUCAUGAAUAAAUAUCCUAUCGACCGCUGUUUCUGUAAUUUCUUUAUCUCCCUUGGUGCCAGAUUUUUAACAUAAAUUACUGUGGGAUCAGUGUUAGUGUCUAAUCCGGACAGGAGACCAAUAUCUAAUUUACUUUAAAACCUCAAGAGCACCAUAAAUUAUAUGACCUUGCGUAUGAUCUCAAAAACAUAAUAACAGGAAUAAUAAUUAAUCAGUCAUAUUUGAAUGAACCAACUUCAACCAUCAUAAGCAACAGCAAACACUUCACAUUCUUUAAAAAAAAAAAAAAAAAAAAAAAAAAAUCAUUAGUAAUCACAAGCUACCACCACAAAGCGGAUGAUAAAUGGCCAAUGGAUGGCAUUUCCAAAUCUCACGCGACCUAAUUUCAUCCAACGAUGAACGCCCCAUCGAGACCGUCCAGUUCGUUGUCCAUCGGACGGCCUCCGAAGUGCCAAUUUUUCCACUAUGAAGUUUGCGGCAAGCUCUAAGCAGGGCGCUAUUGCAGUGGCGUGAGUUCUCGCCCCCUCGCAGGCCAUGGCUGCUGCUGCUUCCACGCGACGGCUGCGAAGCCUUCGCCAUUCCCUGUUGGGCUUUGCCGCCCGGACUCUACCACCUCUCACUUCUCGGUUUCCUUCUUCGGGACCUGCUUUUUGUGCCGAGGUGGCUCACAUUGAUCAGUUGGGCUCCGCGCAGGAGGAACUCUGUUCGAAGGAUUUUGAAGUUGUUGGGUCGGUUUCCCUUGCUUUGUUGGGCCGAUCGGGUUUUUCGCUUCCGAGAGGGGCGGAUUGGCCCUGGGGUUGGAGACGUGAUACUUCAGUCGCAGAGAACGGUGUAUUUUCUCACGUUUUAGGAGUUGGUGUUCGAGGUCUCGCUGCUAAGGCCAAGAAAUCGGGUGGAAAAUCUCGUACGUGGACGUGAUCUCUCUCUCAUUUUGGUUCUUGUGUUUAUGUGGUUGUUGGGCUUGAUCCUCUUGGAGGGAAGGAUGUAAUUUCUCAAGCUCUUUUUCGACAACGUUUUUUCGAGUCGUUUCUGUUCUGAUUAAUUGUUGGCGUUAAAUGUGCUGAAUGUUCAUUCAUUGAACGAAUGGUGGGAAAAUGUAGACUCCACGAGUGAUCCCCUUAGGCGUAUUGGCUUUAGUACAUGCCAACCAGUCUGUCUAGAUCCCCACCCAGAAUUUGAUGGUCCUCAGCACUUAACACUAGUUUGGGUUUAGGGUUUAGGGUUUAGGGUUUAAGAUAUGUGUCAAUGUCUUUGCGCGUCCGGGAAAUAAUGAGAUUAAGAAAUAACAACGCUACGAAUGGUCUCCUUUUGUAAAUUAGAUCACAAGUCCUGGUGGCCAUUCUGAGGACAUUACUACCCUUUGUCUGAUGUCUUUUUACAAUACCCACAUGAGAACUAUGUAGGCUUCAAGAUUAUGUUGGUUUCUGAACUCACGAACGCUGACGAAGUGGAGACGAUGACGUUACCAUAAGGUCUCGUUCAGCAUAUUCGCCUUAUGGCCUUGCCGACUACUCUGAAAAGAUCACCUCCCAUAAUUUGAUGUCCCUUUACCGUGGAAUAACUCACUAUAAUUCGGUCACUUCUUCAAUCGCAUUGUAGAGAACAAAAUGUGAUUUAACCUACAUUAUGGAAAAGGAUAGUUUGUCGAUCGGUUCUUUUGUGAUUUCACACCUGAAUACUUUGGUAUGGACUCAGUGCGCGGGACAAUGACGAAAUUAUGAAAGGUCUCGUUCGGCAUAUUGGCUAACAAGCCAUGCUGACCAUUCUGAAAAGAUCACCACCCAUAACCUGAUGUCCCAUAUGCACGGAUAGUCUAUCUGAAGUAGCCAUGACAUGAGCCAUGAGAAAGUACGCAUGCUAGGGUAUUACCAUAGAAACUCUUAAAUACGUUCUAGUGAACGUGUGCAUACAUUCUCAUGCGUGCGCUAAGUGAUUACAUGGGUUCGCCUUUUGCAUUUAUUAAUACUUUUCUCGUAAUCUAAAGAUUUUUGUGCUUGUCCAUGCUGGUCUAGGUGGUGAUGAUGGCGGAGGUCAAGUUGUUGCAACUCCAGGACCAUCAGCCAAAGAAACAGCUUCGAGGCUGAUGGAGGCUGCCUUGAAUGCUCUGUCAGUGGAGCUCUCGAAACUUCGCACUGGCAGAGCUACUCCAGGUUAGUGUCGAUGCUUUUCGAAGUAAUGCAUGGUGCGAUGACAGUGCAGUACCUCCCAGUACAUUUUCGUGCGAGAGUCAUUGCAUUGUCGCUUCAUAGAGGAGCAUCAACCGUAUUCACUGACAAGUGAAGUGCCUUUUUUCUCUAAUUGUGAAGUAAUUAUCUAACUCAUUUAGGUCGAUUGCAGGAAUGCUAGAUCAUGUGAACGUGAUGUCUCAUGGUGUACAAACACCUCUAUCUCAUGUGGCCGCAGUUUCGGUUUCCAAUCUUGAAACAUUGACAGUAAUGCCAUAUGAUACUUCUGUGAGUUCCGGUAUUUCCGAAAUUCGCUGCUUCUAUUGGUUGUGUUGUCAAAUAUUGCUGGACCUAAGUGACGUUGAAUUCUUUGCUGGACCUGAGUAUGCAGCCUUGUGUUGCCUGUCUGAUCUUGUAUUUGUCAUGUGUGGCUGAACAGAUGGUCAAAGAAGUUGAGAAAGCUAUUCGAAAUUCUCCACUCAAACUAAACCCCAUGGCGGAAGGGGAAGUCCUGAGGGUUCCUAUCCCUAAGUAAGGAGAAUGACUUUGAAUGUUCCUUUGUUUGCGUUUAAAUUAACAUGUACAUGUACGUAAAGAGUGUUAUAAUGUUGAUUAGAUUACGUAAACUUGCUUGGAUGAUUGUAUCAUGAAGUUUUCAGUACCGAGAUUCUCUGUCUACUUUUAGAUAAAAACGUAAUUUUACGAAUGUCGCCAAUGUUGUCGGCUUACGUGCUUGAGAUUUCGUAGCGUUCCGUCCAGACUGUCCAAUCAUGUGAAAUGAAUUAGCUGAGUGUCGAUUCGUUUUCCUGUAUUUGUGGAGUAGGUUUAUAGCGCUGUAAGAUCAAGCUAGGUCAGUAUUCGAAGUUUACGAGUCAUACUUCAUGUGAUAGCAGGGGCGUGAUCCUGACUCAGUUGUGAUGGGUGUCGAUGCGGUGGGUUGACUUUGAAACUGGUAAUCCUUCAGGCUAACAAAGGAGCAUAUACAGGUAGGAUUCUCAGCCCCGUAGUAUAUGUUUAGUAGCAGCAUACGUUUGGGUAUUGAAAAUGACACACCAUAGAUGUUUGACCACCGAUUUCAGUCAUUUAUUCUUGAUUAUGAUUAUGGUUCUUGCAGACCAUGAGUAAACUUGUAGGGAAAGCUGGUGAAACCGCGAAGCUUAGUGUGCGUAGAGCACGCAAAGACGUAAGUUUACUUCUUCUUUUUUUCACUUGGUUAAAACUAUGUGUUUAAAGUUGCUUUUGGUGUCGUACAUGAGACUGUCGAGUUGCGGAGGAUUGAAAUGUUGAAAUGUUCUGUUAUUUCAGGCUAUGGAUAUCAUCUCAAAAGGUGGAUACUCCAAGGAUGAAGUGAAAAGAUUCGAGAAAGAGGUGAGUAUUGAUACCAUUUAUCGUCUCGUGUCAAUUUUUCACCCGUUUUAUGAUAUCAUUAUGAUAAAAACAUUUUUUGUGGAUGAUGGUAAUACCGAAUGACGUGAGGAUCUCUAGACACCUCUGGUAUCAGAGUUAGAACGAUGACGGGACAACGAAAACCGUCCUUCGGCAGAUUGGAUAAAUAGCCACGCUGGUCAUUCUAACCUGAUUACCACCGGUGAUCUCAUGCCCGGAUGAUAGUCAACGCUUUACGGUUUUGUUAAAAGUUGACCUAAUUACCGUUCAGCUUUUGUCAGUGGCUGUAUCUCAUCCUUGCCCAUGACUUCGGGUGUUAUUGCAGGUAGAAGAUGUGACGAAGAAGUACGUGAAGUCAGUCGAGGAAGCCUGCAAGUCCAAAGAGAAGGAAAUCCUGGGUAACAGCUAGGUCUGGCUUAUCUUUUCAUUAAGAAAUCAGGGGAUGGGUCUGAUGUGUGGAAAUCAGGACCAAAUGUCUCCGACUUCGACAAUAGCGAUCCAUGGCCUAGCUAGAGAUGAGUUACGAAGCAGAUGCAUAGGGCAUUCUUAAUGUCCUAGCUUUUCCUCAUUCGGAACUACAGUGGUCAGAUCAGGAUGCUUAACACUUGCCUUGUUACGUGAAAUCAUCUCAUUUCUGAGCUAAGGUUAUCAUAUUUUAAGCCAACGAUUCAUUAGCCAGACUUUCGUUAGGAUUUGCAGCUGUUGGGUACACAAAGCGAAUAGGCUGCAAGUGUUAGAAGCAUGUUGUCGUUUCUAAUCGUGAAGUGUUUUACUUUAAUUUACCGAUCAGAUUUGUUGUCCAUGAACUGCGACUUCAGCAUGGAAACAAAUAAGAAACUGACGUUGUGGAACUGUUGCUUUGAGUUGAAAGGAUACAAUCAUUUCCCCAUUGGCUGUGAGGUUCCGCCUCAUCGAAUAAAGUUGCAACAUACAUGUGUACCCCAAUGAAAGACUCAGCAUUCUUUGAAGCUGUGCUUCUUCUCAAUGUUCUCUUACAAUGCUCCAAGUGUUAGUGCCUCAUGGGCUCUCACCAUGUCAAACCACGUCAUCAAGUCGUGAAGAUUCUGUGUGGUAAACGCUUGGGAAAGGCUGCUUUGGUUCCUUGAUUCUCGUGCCAACGGCCAAAGCCCAUUCAUGUUUUUUGUAAUGUUCCACUGAACUUGUUCCUAGGAUUCCAAGGUCACCAUCUGCAUCAUUCUACAACUUCAAUCAGAUGCUGUAAACUAUUUUAGGAAAUGGUCUCGUUCACCUUGCUUGGUUUCCACAAUAUUAUACAUGCUCGCAUACAAACAAAGGUGAUUGUUCUGACUUGAUAAUGAUGAAAUACUCUGUUUUGCCUAAAUGAUGCUGUUGUUCACAGUAUUUCACUUUUCUGAAGUAUUCUUGAACUUAUGAUUAUUCUAACUCAAUUCCGAAAAAGGUUUCAACUAAUUGACAAUAUGAAUUUAUCUCACUCACCCACACACACAUAGACACUGGCUUUGUUAAUAUUUCAAUGAUUUGAAAUUUCUGGUUUCAAAAUGCAACUAGCUAUUUACUCCAUGGCUUGGUCUAUAUUAGUGUGAUUGUAUUUUUAUAAUUUUAGUGAGACUCUUAAAUUUCAUUGUACUUGAAAUUGAUGCAAUAAUAGUAUAUAUUCAUUGAAUAAUGCAUUUAGUUUUCUGAACUGAAUUCUAGUGUACUUUCAUUUUUUCUUUACAGGUUGCUUUUGACAACGUUCUCUUUGAUAUGAAUUUGAUUAGAGCGAAGGAGAAAUCUUAGUUUACAUUACAUGUAUAUCAAUAUAUUAGAUAAUUAAGUGAUUAAAAAAAAGUCAUUUUUUUUGUCUUCUUGAAACCUUGUUGCUUCCCCUAAUAGUGACUGCUUGCACAAUUCUCUUACAAAUAUCAAACUGAAUAAAUAUAUAUAUUAAGGAAUAACCAAUGUUAGUUAAUUUUUAUAGCUAAUAUAUAUAUUAAUAUAAAUGUAUAUUUUCAUUUUAAGGUAUGUGUUGUAAAAUACGAAAAUCUUUUACCAAAAAAAAAACAAAAUUAAAUAAAUAGAAAGAAGAGGCCUAAUUGAUGUAUUUGUGAUAUUUGCAAUAUUUAAUAAAACCUUAUCAAAUCUGCUAAAAUUUUAAAUUGCCCAGAUGAAGACAACAUGUUUAAAGUAAAGAAAACGUAAUUCAUAAAUGGAAUCCUUCUUUUUAAGUUCUUUUUUGCUUUGAAGUUAAAAGUUUCAGUAGCUUUUAAUAUUCAAGCCAUUUUUCAAUGUAAAACUUUAUGUUAUCCAUGUUUGUUGUUGGAAGUCUUUUAAUUUAUAAUUAAUGUAGUUAUUGUAUUUUGUGGAGGCCACUAUACUUAGUUAGUAUUUUUUUUUUUUUUUUUUUUUUUUUUUUGUAGAAUAACCAAAUUUGUGCAGCGAAGUAUUUAAUUGCAUCCUCUGCUCAUACAAUAGGCAAUUAAUUUUCAGGCAAAUCCUUGAAAACUUGGAUUAUAAAAAGCAACACUUUUGAAAAAUAAUAAUUACAACAUUGACUUUUGAGAGUUGUUUAACUUAUUGAACUACCACUUUUGUUAUUAUUUACUCAGAUUUUUCUUUUAAUAAUAUUAUUAUAAUUAUUAUUCCUUUUCUAAGAAAAUAAUAUGAAGAAGUUGAUAUAUAUAUAUAUAUAUAUAAUUAUUCAUAACAAUUCAAAAAUUCAAGCCAAAACAUAAUGUACUUAAAUUGUUCAUAGAAUGAAGAGAAAUUCAUUCUUUUGUUUUAUUUUUAAUAUUUAUGUAGUAAUAUAUAUUGAAUAAUAUUACAAACAAAAAAAUCUUUUGUUUGAUUUCAACAUGAAAAGCAAAAAAAAAUAAAAACGUACAGAUCAAAUAUCUACACACUUGAGAAUAUGCAAUUAUAAUGUAGCUUCUCCAUGUUUUCUCAUUCAAAAAAAUAGAAAAAAAAUCCUUGAUAUCCAUUAACUUUUUACAAAAAUAAUUUUAAUUAAUAAAACAUUAAUCAUCUUUUGUCUCAUUAAACUUGAUUUGCUUUAUUUCAAAAAAAAUUGAACUAAGAAUUCAUACUAAAAAUGUGAAAUCUUACCACUUUAAAACUAUCAAUCACACAUCAGUGUCCAAAAGAAAUUACACAUGUAGUAAAUUAAAAAUAAAGUAAAACUUAUACAAUCAAGAUCAAUGUAUGGGUGUUAGCAUUGCAAACAUUAUCAUACACACAAUAUCCUACACACACAUGUGCAACAUGAGGAAUGAAACCUCCACACAUCCAAACAGCCCACAACUUUCUUCACAAAUGAAAAUUGAAUUCAAACUAAAAAGUAGUCACACUAAAUUCCAAUUUACUGUAUCCAAUACAAAGACAUGCACACACACAUGGCAUUCAGUAGACUCCAAUGCUGUACUUCAUCAAUAAAUGCAACUGAGAUGCAUCAUUUUAAAACAUAGUGAAAAAAAAAGAAAAAAAAAGAGAGAAAAAAAACUAAUCCACGAUAUUAAGAAUGCAUGGAUAAUGUGGAAUUGGGAGUGGGAACGAGAGCCUGUCACCACCGAAAGUGAGCAAAAGCAAAGAGAGGAAUUGAUUGAAGAGAACAGACGGUCAUAGGGGGGGAGUGGGGAUAGGGGGCAGCAGCAGAAGGGGUCAAGUAGCAAGUUAAGAGCACGGGGCCACGAGGGCUGCCUUGUCAGCAGAACUUUGUCCACGUGGACAUGGAGUAGGUGGAAGGUCACAUGGUCGGCCUGUCCGGUCAGCCUUUCCAGGUGUACACCUGUCCCACGCGCGUCCACGUGGGAUUAUUUUGGCCGUCCCAUGAAAAUAAAUAUUGACCCACUCCAAUGCAUUGGACCGUUCCCAAUAACCGGAACUUUAACUUUCUAUUUAUAAUUUUGUGUUUCUCUUUAAAGUAUAAAUUUAAGAUUUUGAAGUAACAUGAAAGAGGGAUUCCUUCAAUACUUUUGGUCGCAAGAUUAUUUAACUCAAAUUUUUAGCACAAUUUUCGAGUGGGUUUUGAAUUACCACCUCUUGAUCAUGGUAUAUGAUGAAAAUGAAUAACUAAAUAAAAUGAUGUAUUAAUUAGCAUUGGAUUGUGUUUAUAAGGAAGACAUAUUACACGGUUGUUGUCAACCGAAUUUUUAUGUUACAUGAAUUUUCGACUUGAAUGGUUUUUGCACUUUAAAUAUCAUGUUCUUGUAAUUAAAGAUUUUUUAAUUUUAGUUAAAUUUAAAUUUAAAUUUCUUUUUUUUACUUCUAACUCAAUAUUACAUUCUUGGUCUAUGCAUGGUAUUGCUAAUGCCAUCACAAUUAUUGCUCCUCUCACUACAACCCUAUGAAAAUUAUGGUCAAAAUUUAAUUAAAAUUGUAUUUUUGUCACUUCCACCACAACCAUUUUCAUCAUUGUUUGAUAUGUAUAUUGGGAAUAUUAACAAAAAAAUUGAUUGAAAAAAAAAACUAAAUAAAUAUGUCAAUUGGGUGGCAGUAGCAAAAACUGUGAUAGCAUUAGCAAUAUCCUAAAUGCAGCAUGUGUUAUGGGAUAACUUUUGUAAUUUGUAUUAGAAUGUGUUAAUGUGAAAUUUACUCAAUUUGUUGUUUAUGUAUUACAUAACUCAAUAUCACAUUCUACCAUAAAUUGAUACUUACAAAAAUUGAAUCAAUUGGUUGUUUACUCAAUCAUGUUGAAAAAUUUAAUAACAUCUCUUGGAGAUUUAAUUUAGCCUCUGAUUAUUGUUAUUCCAUCCUGAAACAUUUCCCUCUUUACAAGUUAGUCACAACUCUCUCCCUUGAAAAUCAUCUCCCCUGAGUUCAAUAUAAUAAUAUAGUUGAUAAAAGUAGAAGCAAAAAUGUAGACUUGAACAAUAAAAUAAAGCACUUAUUCAUGUUCUUUGUCUGUCUAUUUAUUCGUUUUCUUAUACAGAAUAUCUAUACAUUUUACAUUUGAAAAAUAAGAAUACUAACAACAUUAAGAACGUGAAAUAGUUUUUAAGUUCAUUUUGGUUUGGUUCAUUCAAAUGUUACUUGAAAUUCAGAUACUUCAAAAUGAAAUAAAAGUGAAAAAUAUACAUACCAAGUUUAUAUAUUUCAUUUUUGAUACAUCCGUUUGUAUUACUCAACAACAAAGAAAAGAUAUAUACAGUUAUCUAAAAUACAUGAUUAUGCAAUUAAAUAUCCAAGAAAAAGGCAUUCUUUUUGAGUGAACAAAGCUCAAAUUUUAAUUAAUGCAGAAAAUUCAAUAAAUCGUUGUUUAAACACAACAGUAUAAACAAAAAAAAUUACAAAAAUGUAAACUUAUUAAAUGUAAACUACCCUAAUGCAAAUAUCUAAUCUUAUUAAAAUUUAUUUGUCCUAACAAUAAACCAAUCAUACAUAUGCCUUCGACAAAGGAAAUUUGUAAGCAAACAAACAGCUUUUCACUCGUGCACAAUGAUAGAGGCUGUAAAUAAAAAAAAAUAAAAAAUAAACAUAUAUGUAUAUAUAUAUAUAAUUCUACAAGUCUGAAGAAUUGUGUGCCAUGAAGGGCUGACGUGGAAGGGACUGCACAGCUGGCAAGGGCGAGGAACGGACUCCAAUGAAAUGAGCUUCAACCAAGUGUCAGCAAUUUAGAGCACACUACUCCCUAAAGGAUGAUUCCAUCCCAUUCAUCCAUCCAUUCAUUUGUGGCAUUAUCAUCCGUCCAAUUUUAGAGCCAGGAAUGUCCUGCUUUUGUUUUGUUUUGUGUUUUAGUGGCUGCAUUCACACAGCAACCCACUCCGGCAUCCACUUUCCCCCUGUGCCCGUGCGCUUCACACCCCCUGAUUCUUCGUCUUUUACUUUCCCUUUUUCUGCUGAUUUCUCCUUUUCCUUUUCAAUUUUUCUAGUUGCUUUUUAUAUUUUUUAUGGGCAGGUGGGGAGGGGGCGCAAGGUUACAAAAUGAUACACUGGACUUGCUUGCACUGUAGGGGGGGCGGCAAAAGGCAUCCUAGGGGCCGGCUGGGUGGCUGCAGCACCACUAUAGCUUUUUACUGUGCAGUCUGUCUGUCUGUCUGUCUGUGCGUGUGUCUUCAGAAGAGUUAAGUUAUUCAACCCCAGUUUUUAUUUGCAAGUUUGUGUGUGAAGCCAUCUCCAAAAGUCAUGUAUACUAUUGCCACAAUAGUGUGGCCACACAAAGUGCGAGGAAACCUGAAGUAACUUACAAUGGUGGCAAGGUUGAAUCUCCUGGUGCGUCAUGCUCACAGCCAGCCACACAGGACAUUUGGUGGCAUUAAUUCAAUCUCUUUGUGUAUGACACUGUUAUGGCUAUUGGGUAGUACCGUGGUUGAUUUGUUUUUAUCUCGUGUUAAUGCAGCUUUUGAGUCACUUUGGAUUAUGCUUAAACCAGAGCCACACACAAACUCUUUUUCGUAAUAAAGCUUUCUACACUCCUCGAGGCAGUUACAACAACCAUGCAUUUCCGUUGUUGGUUUUAGUUACCCAGUUCUUCAAGUUUUAACUUCGUAAUGACAUUACUUAUCAACUGUAUAUUGUAUAUGAGCAAGGAUGGAUUUCCUGCAAAGAAAUAUAUAAAUGAAUAUAAAUAUAUAUAUAAAUAUGUAUAUAAAUAUAUAUAAAUAUAAAUAAAUAUAUAUAUAUGUUGAAAAAAUAACGGAAAACUUUCUGAAGCGCGGUGAUAGUUAGUAAGUUAGUUAGUUAGUUAGUUUGGUUUUGUUUUGUUUUACUCCUGGUUGCAGGAGCCUGGGAAAAUUGUUGGCGACUGCAGCGAGAGAGCUCUUGAAGGUCUGGCACUUAACCUACGAGUGACGCUGGGCACAUGGGGGAGGGGGGGACAGUUUUAAUUAAUUAAUUAAUAAUUAGUUUUCCUUUUAUAACAAGGGAUGAAAUAUACGCUGUCGGACCUCACUGGGAAGUUGUCACGCGGCCACCUGUGGAUGGGAACGAAGCCUUUUUUAUUUAUAUUUUUUUAGUUGUAGCAUUUAACUGUAGCAUCUUCUGUGGGAGCAUCAUCCUCCGGGUUUGUAUAAGAGCUCCUUCACUGCACCCCAAUACGCAUUCCAUUGCACCAUUCCUGUUGUCGCAGUGUCUGUGCAGCUCUUCCGGUGUUGCUAGCUAGCUAGCUCUACUCACACUCUGGGUUAUUGUUGUGUUUUUUUUAGUGUGUGUGUAACCAUCCACUAGUAACCAUGGUGAAAUUGGCAUUCGGCGAGUCUGAUGAAGCCUCCAGCCCCGAUGCGUUGAAGGGGGCGUUGGCGGAGUUCAUCUCCUUGUUCCUGUUUGUGUUCAUCGGAGUGGGAUCGGUGAUGUCCUAUGAGAAGAUUCACGUCGGUGACUUGGAAGCUGGUGGUCUGCUCAUGAUCGCCAUCGCUCACGGUCUUGCUAUUGCGAUCCUGGUGGCUGCCACUGCGAACAUCAGCGGAGGGCAUGUCAACCCCGCUGUUUCUCUCGGUCUUGCUCUUGCCGGAAAGAUCACCGUCAUUCGCCUCGUCCUUUACUGGGUUGCCCAGCUCUUGGGCGCUGUCGCUGGUAUGAAUGCACGUCCCUGUUUUUGUCUAUUAUUCUACCCGGUUUUGUUUUUCGGCGCCCAGUUGUCCUUCACUCUUAUUACGAGCUCCCUGUGUACAAGCAUUGACCUCAGCAUUCUUAACAAUGCCACAUCAGAGGAAGUGACCUCCCUGAUAUAUUGAUCUAAUCAAUUGUGCCUAUCCGAAGCUUUUACUACAUGUUGCUGCAAUUUAUCAUCGACUAUCAGUCAUGAAAGAACCACAUGAUCGAUCACUUCUCUGGUCGCUCUGUUUCCUAGGAUGUUUCACAAGCCGACCGCGAAGCUUGUGCUUGAUACAGAAGUCCAUAGGUUGUUAUGUGCAUUGUGUACAACCGAAAUUGUUGGGGGCUCACUCAGCGGCUAACAAGUGUGAGAUGUGGUUUUGCAAUGCGCAGGCGCAUGGGUUCUGAAAAUGGUCACCACGGGAGAAGACGUCGCCCGCCACGCUAUCGGAGUGGGCAUGUCUCCCAUGUCUGCGGUGCUGAUGGAGAUCGUGCUCACCUUCACGCUUGUGUUCGUGGUGUUCGCCACCGCAGUGGACCCCAAGAAGGGUACCGUGGGAGUGAUCGCUCCCUUGGCCAUCGGCUUCACCGUUCUGGCUCAGAUCUUCGUUGGAGCUCCCUUCUCCGGCGCUUCAAUGAACCCUGGACGCUCCUUCGGCCCCGCUGUGAUCGCCAUGGACUUCACCAACCACUGGGUGUACUGGGUUGGUCCCUUCAUUGGUGCUGCCCUAGCUGCGGUUAUCUACGACGGCGUUUUCAUCUCCCCCUCUCCUCCUGCAGGCCACCAAGCCAUCCCCAGCGACUUUUAGAUCACCACGAUGACAUAUAUUCCAUCGCACGUUGCAAUGGGUCUUCUCCACCUCCAGCCUUCGUGUUUCACUCUUUGUCUGGGAGUGAAAAAUGGGAGAGAGAGAGAGAGAGAGAGAGGCAACGUCGUGAUCUGGUCAGGUUGCGAUUGAUCUGUACGAGUAAAGGUUUUUGGUGACAGUGGCGGUGAUUGCUCUUGCCGCCGAGGUGUAUGUUUCCAUUGUAUAUGUUCAUAAAUCAAGUGUAAUUGCACACACUUUUCUCCACAAUUUCGUCGACUUGCAGUACCUUCCCAUUCGCACCCUUUUUGUACAUUGACUUGCCUGCUUGUCUGCUGAUUCAAUUGCGUUUGUUCUGUGCCUAUUGUUUUUCGCUUCCAUGAUUCAGCUACUUAUGCUCAAUGCCAGGAAUUACACAAAACGCUAGUGACAUGCAUAGCUACUUCAUGAAGUAUACUCUGUUUUUGUGCAUUGUGAUUCUUAGAUAGUGAGCUUGGGUGAUUGGAGAGAAGUACAGCACAAAGCAAUUGCACAAGCAGCAUUUGCAUUGGCUGCAAUGAAUUUCAUUGCAACUGCUCCUGCAAACAGCGACUGAUUACUGAACCGUUCUCCCAUCACUGCUAGGCACGGUGACUUC
This 29198-nucleotide long non-coding RNA is filed under the name Physcomitrium patens. Its description in RNAcentral is "long non-coding RNA (PPAT_LNC013934)". The stretch from base 18418 to 18513 matches the Rfam family "Small nucleolar RNA Z43". Lineage: Eukaryota; Viridiplantae; Streptophyta; Bryopsida; Funariales; Funariaceae. The record is from RNAcentral.